UGGGGAAUAUUGCACAAUGGGCGCAAGCCUGAUGCAGCCAUGCCGCGUGUUGUGAAGAAAGGCCUUCGGGUUGUAAAGCACUUUCAGCGGGGAGGAAGGCGGUGAGGUUAAUAACCUCAUCGAUUGACGUUACCCGCAGAAGAAGCACCGGCUAACUCCGUGCCAGCAAGCCGCGGUAAUACGGAGGGUGCAAGCGUUAAUCGGAAUUACUGGGCGUAAAGCGCACGCAGGCGGUCUGUCAAGUCGGAUGUGAAAUCCCCGGGGCUCAACCUGGGAACUGCAUUCGAAACUGGCAGGCUAG
RNAcentral lists this ribosomal RNA (301 nucleotides) under uncultured Klebsiella sp. RNAcentral describes it as "bacterial SSU rRNA". It matches the Rfam family "Bacterial small subunit ribosomal RNA", at positions 355 to 644 of the family's 1533-position model. Lineage: Bacteria; Pseudomonadati; Pseudomonadota; Gammaproteobacteria; Enterobacterales; Enterobacteriaceae. The record is from RNAcentral.